CUUAUUAUUGCUCUUUAAUACAGGCAAUAAAGCAGAAGCAUAACCGACUUGUACAUAGCCACCCAUAAAAGGUACACUCCCCCCUUGUUUCUUCCUCAAAGCUCUACGCGAUUGGACAUCCCCUUGGAGUAAAGCUCGAAUUACCGCAAAGCUCAAAGGUCGGCACCGAAGAUAACAACUCGGCGUCGAUUCCCA
This is a non-coding RNA of Arachis ipaensis, 195 nucleotides long. The record is from RefSeq and is a predicted model, not a curated record. NCBI's taxonomy places the organism in Eukaryota, Viridiplantae, Streptophyta, Magnoliopsida, Fabales, Fabaceae.